This 92-nucleotide ribosomal RNA is filed under the name Urocitellus parryii (Arctic ground squirrel). The record is from RNAcentral. Lineage: Eukaryota; Metazoa; Chordata; Mammalia; Rodentia; Sciuridae.
GUCUUCAUCCAUUCCACCUUGAACACACCCAAUUUCCUCGAAUCUCAGAAGCUAAGCAGGGUUGGGGCCUGGUUAGUAUUCGAACGGAGACA